Molecule: ribosomal RNA, 468 nt
Filed under: uncultured bacterium
Lineage: Bacteria
Description: partial 16S ribosomal RNA
Rfam family: Bacterial small subunit ribosomal RNA
Source: RNAcentral
GACGAACGCUGGCGGCGUGCUUAACACAUGCAAGUCGAACGGAAAGGCCCUGCUUUUGUGGGGUGCUCGAGUGGCGAACGGGUGAGUAACACGUGAGUAACCUGCCCUUGACUUUGGGAUAACUUCAGGAAACUGGGGCUAAUACCGGAUAGGAGCUCCUGCUGCAUGGGGGGGGUUGGAAAGUUUCGGCGGUUGGGGAUGGACUCGCGGCUUAUCAGCUUGUUGGUGGGGUAGUGGCUUACCAAGGCUUUGACGGGUAGCCGGCCUGAGAGGGUGACCGGCCACAUUGGGACUGGGAUACGGCCCAGACUCCUACGGGAGGCAGCAGUGGGGAAUAUUGCACAAUGGGCGGAAGCCUGAUGCAGCAACGCCGCGUGCGGGAUGACGGCCUUCGGGUUGUAAACCGCUUUCGCCUGUGACGAAGCGUGAGUGACGGUAAUGGGUAAAGAAGCACCGGCUAACUACGUG